Molecule: long non-coding RNA, 2067 nt
Filed under: Sorghum bicolor (sorghum)
Lineage: Eukaryota; Viridiplantae; Streptophyta; Magnoliopsida; Poales; Poaceae
Description: long non-coding RNA (SBIC_LNC014005)
Source: RNAcentral
AGUAGGAAUAAGGGACAGUUGGUAGGUUGUUAAGCUGCACAAAGUGGGAACUAACAAAGCAAUGACUACUGCCUGUAUCAACCAAAAUAAGAAUGGUCUUGUUCUUUAAAGUGGCCUUGAGUUGAAUGGAAUCCUCAGAAUGAGUACCAAAUAUUGCAUUCAGAGACAACUAUCCAAAAUUUUCAGUGAGAGCUUCAUCAAUAGCCAGCUCAUUUAACACAUCUUCAUUGAGCUCCCUACCUAGGUCAGUAACUACCAAAGCAUUUACAUGAGAUUCGUUCCUCUUGGCACAAACUUCUACAUGUCGUGGUUCAUAUUUCUCCCCACACUGGUAGCACAAAUUGUUUGCUUUUCUAUAGUCACGAAGCUGUUUGUCCCUCCACAAAUUGCCAUAUUGAGUUGGAGGCUUAUUCUCUUGUCUGGAUGGCAUGGGCUUCAUAUGAGCAUUUCUAUUUUGUUGCUUAAGCUUUUGUCGGUCUGCUACAUUUUGUUGGAUCCUAGCGAUGACUGUAGCCCUUUCAAUAGUUGUUGGAACCUGAGGUUCAACCACAAUGCAUAUAUCAUCACGUAGGCCUCUGACUUACUGAGUGGCAAAGAACAAUGGAUCAUAUUGAGAACUAUGCAUAGAUACAUCAUAUUGCAGGUGAUGAGGACAUUCCAACUAUGCAUGCUCAUUCAAGUCCAAAUGCUACAUAUCAAGGUCCACUUACAAGAAGCGGUGCCAAGAAGCUACAAGAGCAGGUGAAUUCUUUCCUUCGUGAUUGUAAUUUUCACACUUCUAAAAAUGUUAUACUAUCUAAGAGCUCUACAUUGCACUGCUAGAGAAUCGGCCUUUAGUCCCGGCCAGGAAGGGGCUUUAGCCCCGGAUUCCGAGCCGGGACUACGCUUCCGGGACUAAAGCCCCCCCUUUAGUCCCGGCUCUGUGCAUCGGGGCCAAAGACCCACCCUUUAGUCUCAGGCAGUAUUACCAGCCAGGGUAUUACCAGCUAGGACUAAAGGGUGCUGCCAGCGGUGCCACACAGCAGCACCCUUUAGUCCCGACUAGUAGUACCGCCCGGACUAAAUGGGCCCCUUGUUUUUUCUUUUUCUUUUCUAUUCAGUUCUGUUUUUUUAGUUUUGUUUAUUUAUACAAUAGGUUUUCCAAUAUGUAUAUAUAUAUAUAUUAGCAGCAUAUGACAAUAAGCUUAUUUUAUACAUAUAUAACUACAUAUAUAUAUAUAUAUAUAUAUAUAUAUAUGCACAUAAAUAUAUAGAAGUUGUUCUCUAAAUCUAUUACUGCACAAGUUGUACUCCAAAGUUAAUACUCUAAACCUAUUACAAGUUGUACUUCAUCAUCCAAAGAUCUACAAAGCAUACAAAUGAUCAUCAUUGUUUGGAAUCAUCUUCUCGCUAGGAUUAUAGUGGAACUCACCGCUUGGAUUUAUGACUUGUUCCCGAAGAAAUCCUACUAUUGCCUCUUGUAUUACUUGGAGUUGUUCUUGUUGCAUGAGUUUUUACUUCAACCAUUCAGUCUUCAAUUUGAACUAAAAUAAGGUAUUAGUUAUAUCAAGAUUAUCAAUAGUAAUUUGAGAGAAAAUGAAAAGAGACAUGUGUUACAUACUCUGAGGUAUUCUUUAGGAAUUCUAUUUGUUACUGCCAUAAUAUACUUGCAAACGUAGUAUCCACAUAAGUUGUUCCCCGGUUAUUAUCUCAAGAUCCACUGUAGGAUCUAAAGAUUCAUCUCAUAAAAAAGACAAGAUAUAAGAUAUACCACGUACAUUGACGAAGGAUAAACUUACUUGUAGCUGUAUUAUCUUUAGUGGCACCCUACGUUGAGUUAGAUGCUCCCGAACAAUGAAUCUUUCCCAAACUCUAAACCAAUGAUAUAUUUGAAACAAGAGAGUUGGAUCAUUAAGUAUGCAUAUAUACAAGCUUAGUCUACUUUACGCAUGCAAUGGAUCAAAAUUACCUUUGAAUGAUGUCUAUCAUAUCUUAGUAAUCUUGUUGCGGUUUCUUCAUUGAGUCAUAGAUUACCAACUUACUUUCAGCAAGAUCGAUGAUUAUGAGUAUCCAGUGAAAGUUGUUCAU